Molecule: long non-coding RNA, 566 nt
Organism: Monodelphis domestica (gray short-tailed opossum)
Lineage: Eukaryota; Metazoa; Chordata; Mammalia; Didelphimorphia; Didelphidae
Source: RefSeq, a predicted model, not a curated record
UACUACUCAGCCUUUCUAGCUUUAUCUUAUAUCAUUCACGUCAAGAGACUGCCAAUUUGGUCAAAACUGUUUGCCAUAAAUGUCCUUCCCCAUCCUAUUAUAAUUAUUAUAUUCUUUAUAUAAUAUUUUUGAGCCCAUCACUGAGGAUUGGUGGGUGGCAGCUUCUUAUCUUCUGCAUAUUUCUCUGAGUAUUCCUCCUCUUCAUUUCUAAAGUCUCCCUCCAGCCCAUCUCAGCUAAUAAAUGGCCUCGCUGUUCAUUUCAAGACUGAAGCAUCCAACUCCCAAGACCAGAGUUCAGACAUCCAGCCCACUAAGGACAUCAGGGGUCAGAAGCCACUAAACAGCUGUGAGAAUGACUGGUGACCCACAAUGACUGAAUCAGGCAGGCAAUUAAAGAAGGGUUCAGUCUUGGCCCCAGUGCCAAGGCCCAGCAUCAGCUGAAUCCUGGGAACAAGAUCAUCCUGCUAAACAUGAGCCAUCCUUGCUGGAGUUAAGUAAUCCUGGACUGUAUUUCUUUGAGUAAAAUUGAGUAAAGUUACCAAUUAAAUAUUAUUUUUACCCUUUUA